UAACUUCGGAUUAGGUAGGAAUACUUACUAAAUUUAAAUAUAUUAAUAAGUAGAGGAAAAAAAACUAAUAGGGAUUGCCCUAGUAAUAGCGAGUGAAGUAGUAAUAAUUUAAAUUUAAAAUCUAGUUUCGGCCCGAAUUAUAAUUUAUAGAAGAAGCUUUUAGUAAAGUACCUUCUAAAUCCCUUAGAAUGGAGCGCUAUAGAGGGUGAGAGCCCUAUAUAGUUGGAUAUUAAUUUAAUAUAAAGCUCCUUCGACGAAUUAAGUAAUUUAGGAAUACUAUUUAAAAUAGGAAGUAAAUUUCUUCUAAAAUUAAAUAUUGGUUAAAGACCGAUAGUGUAUAAGUAAAGUAAUCGAAAGAUAAAAAGUACUUUGAAAAGAGGGUUAAAUAAUAUAUAAAAUUAUUAAAAGGGAAACGUUUAUAAUUAGACUUACGCUAUUCUAAUUAUUUAGUAUUUUUAUUAGUAUAUUUAGGAUAGUUCAAAUUAAUAUUGGUUUUAGUAGAGGGAUAAAGGUCCGGGGAAUAUAGCUCCUCUAAGAGUAUUAUAGCCCCGGGUGUAAUACCCUCGCUAAGAUUGAAGUUUGUAUAUUUAUAAGGAUACUAAUAUAAUAGUUAUUAAUAACCUGUUUUAAAAUAUAAAUUAAGGAGUUAAGGUUUUAUAUAAAUAUUUAGGUAUAAAACCUGUAUAUAUAAUAAAAGUAAAUAUAAGUAAAAGUUUUAAUAUAUUAUCGACUAAUUUUAAUAUAUUCGGAUAAAUUUAAAUAAAAAUAUUAAACUUUAAACCUGAAAGAUAGUGAAUUAUAUUUAAAUAGGGUAAAGCUAAAGGAAAUUCUAGUAGAGGCUCGUAGCGGUUUUAAUAUAUAAAUUGAUCGUUAAAUUUAAAUAUAGGGGCGAAAAAUUAAUUAAAUUAUUUAAUAGCUAAUUACCGCCGAAAUUUCCCUUAGGAUAGUAAUAUUAUUUUUCAAUUUUAUAAAAUAAAGUAAAUAAUUAAGGAUUCGGGGGCGUUUUUUAACUUUUAUCUAUUUUCAAACUUUAAAUAUAUAAAAAGCUCUUAUUAUUUAAUUGAAUAUAGGUAUUCGAAUAUAUUAAUAUUAGUAGGCUAUUUUUAAUAAAUAGAAUUAGCGAUGUAAGAUAAACCGAAUGUAGGGUUAAGGUAUUGGAAUAGACGCUUAUUAAAUACUAUAAAAGGCGUUAGUAUAUUUUAAUAGUAAGAUAAUAGCUAUAGAAGUUGGAAUUUACUAAGGACUAUAUAAUAAUUUACUUGCCGAAUAUAUUAGCCCUAAAAAUAGAUAGCGUUUAAACGUCCUACUUAUACCCCGCUUUUAGGGUAAAAAUAAUACUUUAAAGAGUAAGCGGCUAUAAAGGUUAGUAACGAAGUUUAGGGUAUAAAUCCGGGUUAAACGGCCUCUAAUACAAAUUUUAGUAGUAAUAGUAAAUACUUUAAUAAGAAUUUGAAGGACCGAAGUAGGGAAAAGUUCUAUAUAAAUAAUAAUUGGAUAUAGGUUAAUUGAUUUUAAACUAUAGGGAAAUUCUAUUUUAAAGGGGUAUUUAUACUCUGUAUAGCGAAAGGGAAGCCGGUUAAUAUUCUAGUACUUAAAUAUAGGUUUUAUAUAAUAAUGCAACUAAAUAUAAAAACGAUAGCGGGGACCCCGGGUAGAGUUUUCUUUUUUUUUUAAUAGUUUAUUACCCUAAAAAUAAUUUAUUUGGAGAUAGGGUUUAAUAGUUGGAAGAGCCUAAUACUUCUAUUGGAUUUAGUAUACUUUCAACGUCCCUUAAAAAUCCGUAAGAGGGAAUAAUUCUUACGCUAAGUUAUACUUAUAACUAUAGUAAAUCUCCAAAAUAAAUAGCCUCUAAUUAAUAGAAUAAUAUAAAUAAGGGAAAUCGGUAAAAUAGAUCUAUAAUUUUAGGAAAAGGAUUAAUUCUAAGGGUUAAAUACGUCGGAUUUUAAGUAAACGCCCUAGGAGUAGAUUGCUAUUAACUAAAUAACCGGCCGGCGGCUUUUAAUAUCCGGGUACAAAAGCCCUUAGCAAACUUCGGUCGUCCGGCGUAUAUUUAAUAACUAAUUUAGAACUAGUAUAAAUAAAGAGAAUUUAAUUAUUUAAUUAAAAUAUAGUAUUAUAAUAGCCAAAAAGUAGUAUUAACGCAAUAUAAUUUCUAUUUAAUAUUCUAAAUAUUAAAAUAAAGAAAUUUAAUUAAGUGCGGGUAAAUGGCGGGAGUAACUAUAACUCUCUUAAAGUAACUAAAUACUUUAUUAUUUAAUUAGUAAUAUAUAUAAAUAAAUUAAUAAAAUUCCUACUAUCCCUAUUUAUUAUCUAGCGAAACUAUAGCCAAAGGAACGGGCUUAGUAAAAUUAGUAGGGAAAAAAGACCCUAUUAAAUUUAAUUCUAAUUUAAUAUUAUAAAAAGAUAUAGGAGGUAUAGAAUAAGUAGGAACUUCGGCGCUAGUAAAAUACUACUACUCCUAUUAUUUUUUUAUUUAUUUAAUUAAGCGGGGUUAGAUUUUUAUUUAAUUUUUAAUUUUAAAGUCCUUUGUAGGCCAACCCGGAUUAAAGAUAUUAUUAAAUAGAGAAUUUAGUUAGGACGGUAUAUUUAUUAAACUAUAAUGUAAGUAUUUUAAGGGGGGCUUAUAGAGAAUAAAAAUCUUUAAUAGAAUAAAAAGGUAAAAAUCCCUUUAAUUUUAAUUUUUAAUAUAAAUACAAACUAUAAAAGUAUAGCUUAUCGAUCCUUUAGUCCCUCGAAAUUUAAAAUUAAAAGUACUAAAAAAGUUACUAUAGGAAUAAUUAAUUUAUAGCGGCCAAAUAUUUAUAGCGAUAUCGCUUUUUAAUCCUUCGAUAUCGGCUCUUCCUAUUAUACCGAAGUAGAAUUCGGUAAGUAUUAGAUUGUUUACCUAUUAAUAGGGAAUGUAAAUUGGGUUUAAAUUAUUAUAAAAUAAAUUAGUUUUACCCUACUAAUAACUUUAUUAUAAUAAUAAUUAAAUUUAAUAUAAAAGGAACUACUUAUUUAAAUAAUUAGUUUUUAUAGUUAUCCGACCGGGUAAUACUGCAACGCUACUAUCUACUAAAUAAUAGUUAAAUGCUUCUAAAUCAAAAUCUAUACUAAAAUGCAAUAAUACUUCUAAUAUAUUAUAAAUAUAUAAAAAUAGGUUCCGGCCUUGUAUUUUAGUAGGCGAUUCCUCUAUUAGCUUUAAAGUAGCUAGUAGUAAUUCGCGUAUUAUAAUUUUAAUACGCGCUAGAUUAAAUUUUUUAUAAAUAAUUUAAAUAUAUAAAAGGGUCCUAUAAGUAAUAGAAUAACCUUAUUAUUACAAUCUACUAAGGGUAAACUUUCCUUCACUUAAAUUUCU
Molecule: ribosomal RNA, 3337 nt
Organism: Neurospora crassa OR74A
Lineage: Eukaryota; Fungi; Ascomycota; Sordariomycetes; Sordariales; Sordariaceae
Rfam family: Eukaryotic large subunit ribosomal RNA
Source: Rfam